This 387-nucleotide ribosomal RNA is filed under the name uncultured bacterium. RNAcentral's name for it is "bacterial SSU rRNA". It matches the Rfam family "Bacterial small subunit ribosomal RNA", at positions 28 to 415 of the family's 1533-position model. The record is from RNAcentral.
GACGAACGCUGGCGGCGUGCUUAACACAUGCAAGUCGAGCGGUAAGGCCCUUUCGGGGGUACGACGAGCGGCGAACGGGUGAGUAACACGUGGGUGACCUGCCCUCAGCUCUGGGAUAAGCCUGGGAAACCGGGUCUAAUACCGGAUAUGACUCCAUGACGCAUGUUGUGGGGUGGAAAGCCUUGUGCGGCUGAGGAUGGGCCCGCGGCCUAUCAGCUUGUUGGUGGGGUGAUGGCCUACCAAGGCGACGACGGGUAGCCGGCCUGAGAGGGCGACCGGCCACACUGGGACUGAGACACGGCCCAGACUCCUACGGGAGGCAGCAGUGGGGAAUCUUGCGCAAUGGGCGAAAGCCUGACGCAGCAACGCCGCGUGAGGGAAGAAGGC